UAGAUGCGAGAGUAGAGCAUAUCAAUAAGCGGAGGAAAAGAAACUAACAAGGAUUCCCUAGUAACGGCGAGUGAAGCGGGAAGAGCUCAAAUUUGAAAUCUUCAAGGGUUCUACCUUUACGAAUUGUAGUUUAUAAGAAGUGUUUUCUGUUAGUAGAGUGGCUAAAAGUUCUUUGGAAUAGGACAUCAUAGAGGGUGAGAAUCCCGUAUUUGUACAGUUACUUUCUAGCUGUGUGAUACACUUUCAACGAGUCGGAUUGUUUGGGAAUGCAGUCCAAAAUGGGUGGUAAAUUUCAUCUAAAGCUAAAUAUUGGCGAGAGACCGAUAGCGAACAAGUACCGUGAGGGAGAGAUGAAAAGAACUUUGAAAAGAGAGUUAAACAGUACGUGAAAUUGUCAAAAGGGAAGCGUUUGACACCAGUGUUGUUUAGUUGAAAAUCAAUUCAAUAGUUUUUGAUUCUAAGUAGUAUUGACUUCAUCAGCUUGCUGCUUUCUUCUCAGAAAUUAUUGAAUGCACUUUUCAGUUAACAAGACAACAUCAAUUUCUUUUGUUGUAAAAGGGUCAUUGGAAGGUGGCUUUCUUUUCGGAGAAAGUGUUUAUAGCCUUUGAUCUCUGCAACCGGAGAGACUGAGGUCUGCAGCGUAGACUCUUCGGGGUUAGAUACAUUUGUGCUAAGCUAUAGCUUUUUAUAGACAACUUGUUGACUAUAUUUAGUCUUGUGGCUUACUCGCUUAUGCUAUUUUACCUACGCUUAGGAUGUUGACACACGCGCGUGCUCG
This 778-nucleotide ribosomal RNA is filed under the name uncultured Neocallimastigales. RNAcentral's name for it is "partial large subunit ribosomal RNA". It matches the Rfam family "Eukaryotic large subunit ribosomal RNA", at positions 22 to 644 of the family's 3401-position model. Lineage: Eukaryota; Fungi; Neocallimastigomycota; Neocallimastigomycetes; Neocallimastigales. The record is from RNAcentral.